AAGGAAUUCAAGUAAAUGAUUAUUGGGUAACUGUAUACAGUGUUUAAAUAUUUCCAAUUUUAAAAAUUGCAUAUUUUAACUUUACUAACAACUUGUUUAAACAUACUGAGUAGAUAUUACUUAGUUUUGGUUAAUUUCCAAGUUAUUUUAAUUGGUGAUAAUAUUUAAAAUAGUUACCAAUAUUCUUAUAUAAAAUGAACACAAUAAACCGGCCUCGAGAUUGUUAAUAUUAAGGAUACUGGUCUGAAUAAUAAUCAUUAUCAAAUUUUUGAACAUUUUAAUUAAAUAAAAAUCCAUGCACCUGAUUCAUGGGAUAAUAGUUUUUUUCGUUUACCUUGCACGACUGUAACAAAUAGGUAGUAGUUUUCAUCUCCAACACAUAAUUGAGGAAAUGCAUUUUGUUAGGAAACGAUGAAUGAUGUUGUUGGCUGCCACAUAAUUCUUCAAAGAAAGAAAACAAUGGAAAACCAACAUGUUAGAAAUGUAAAUAUUAAUUUUUUUUUACGUAGAACUCAAUAUACAAAUUUAAGAAGAUAAUUAUUUUACGGGUUCUGAAUUUACAUUCAAAAUUUUUAAAAUGUAUUUAUAUUAUAUUGGCAUUAAAUAAACAAACAUUUAUUUCUGCCUGAACAGAUAAC
This is a non-coding RNA of Cinara cedri, 638 nucleotides long. NCBI's taxonomy places the organism in Eukaryota, Metazoa, Arthropoda, Insecta, Hemiptera, Aphididae. The record is from the annotation of a GenBank genome assembly.